ACGUGGGGUAAACCCUGCCUCAUAGAGGGGGAAUAGCCUUCGAAAGGAAGAUUAAUACCGCAUAAGAUUGUAGCACCGCAUGGUGCAGCAAUUAAAGGAGUAAUCCGCUAUGAGAUGGACCCGCGUCGCAUUAGCUAGUUGGUGAGGUAACGGCUCACCAAGGCGACGAUGCGUAGCCGACCUGAGAGGGUGAUCGGCCACAUUGGGACUGAGACACGGCCCAGACUCCUACGGGAGGCAGCAGUGGGGAAUAUUGCACAAUGGGGGAAACCCUGAUGCAGCAACGCCGCGUGAGUGAUGACGGCCUUCGGGUUGUAAAGCUCUGUCUUUGGGGACGAUAAUGACGGUACCCAAGGAGGAAGCCACGGCUAACUACGUGC
RNAcentral lists this ribosomal RNA (380 nucleotides) under uncultured Clostridium sp. RNAcentral describes it as "bacterial SSU rRNA". It matches the Rfam family "Bacterial small subunit ribosomal RNA", at positions 115 to 508 of the family's 1533-position model. The record is from RNAcentral. Lineage: Bacteria; Bacillati; Bacillota; Clostridia; Eubacteriales; Clostridiaceae.